UAAACAGUGAGAUACGUUUUUCCUGAAUUGAAUUGUGUCUCAAAUUGAAUCUCUUCCAUGAGUUUCAUGUGAUAAAAACUUUUUCUCGCUGAAUUGAAUCGGGCCCCUAUGUAGGGACUGAUAAUCUGAAUUUUAUGCUUUGAUUACAGGACACAAUUUAAGCAGCAUAAGGCAAGUACCAGCAGACAUAUAUAGAACCAUUAGCAAUGCACCAAUACAAGAUUCAAGAUCAAAUACUUGCAAUUUUUGCAGGAUUUGAAUUUGCCUGAAGUUUUACGGUAAACCAUUCAGCAAGCAUUACAUAUAGAAUCAAAGAAACGUAAUAAUCGAAAUAUGUAAGUGGAACCUAUGUGGCCAAGGCUCUGUAAGUUCAGUAAAUACCAUCCCUAAGUCAACAUUUGCUGCAGUCAGAUAUAGAUGCAUUCAACAAUAUUAAUGCAAUUUCGAUAUGGUGAUUGAGAUAACCAUUCAUUUUAAAGAAGCCGAGAACAUAAAAAAUGGGAACAGUAGUGACCACGGGCUCUGUAAGUUCAGUAAAUACCAUCCCUAAGUCAACAUUUGCUGCAGUCAGAUAUAGAUGCAUUCAACAAUAUUAAUGCAAUUUCGAUAUGGUGGUUGAGAUAAUAAAAUCAUUUUAAAGAAGCCAAGAACAUAAAAAAUGGGAACACUAGUGACCACAGGUAAGAACCAUAACUUUAAUUUCUUUUUUGUUAUUACUUAAUACCAGAUCUGUAUGUACAGCAGGUAUUUGUUUGUAUCCAUAUGAUAGAUGUAGAGCAGGUAUCCAUAUAAAUAUUCUGAAAAUGAACUCACAAGGACUGGUUUAUUAUAUGGUGCAAAUUUGGUUUUGUACAGUUGUCGGUAUAAACUAAUAAGGAAUCUGGAAAACAAGCAUUAUGGAUAACAGGUCCUAUACAGGUAUGGGACCUGUUAGCCAGAAUGGUCGUGAC
This is a long non-coding RNA of Xenopus laevis (African clawed frog), 950 nucleotides long. RefSeq lists it as uncharacterized. NCBI's taxonomy places the organism in Eukaryota, Metazoa, Chordata, Amphibia, Anura, Pipidae. The record is from RefSeq and is a predicted model, not a curated record. The transcript has 3 exons.